RNAcentral lists this ribosomal RNA (254 nucleotides) under uncultured bacterium. Its description in RNAcentral is "partial 16S ribosomal RNA". It matches the Rfam family "Bacterial small subunit ribosomal RNA", at positions 524 to 776 of the family's 1533-position model. The record is from RNAcentral.
UACGUAGGGGGCGAGCGUUGUCCGGAAUUAUUGGGCGUAAAGAGCUCGUAGGCGGUUCGGCAAGUCACGUGUGAAAUCUCCACGCUCAACGUGGAGGCGCCACGUGAGACUGCUGUGACUCGAGUCCGGUAGGGGAGCGUGGAAUUCCCGGUGUAGCGGUGAAAUGCGCAGAGAUCGGGAGGAACACCCGUAGCGAAGGCGGCGCUCUGGGCCGGUACUGACGCUGAGGAGCGAAAGCGUGGGGAGCGAACGGG